RNAcentral lists this long non-coding RNA (780 nucleotides) under Rattus norvegicus (Norway rat). Its description in RNAcentral is "long non-coding RNA NONRATT015312". The record is from RNAcentral. Lineage: Eukaryota; Metazoa; Chordata; Mammalia; Rodentia; Muridae.
AUAGACAUUCAUAAUUUGAGCCAUGGAUGUUCAUGUGUACUUGACAGGUCAAACUAUGAAGAACCCAAUGUCAAAUCCAACUUUGUCCAUGUUUGCCUUAGGGUUGAGUUUGUCUCUAAGUUAAUAGCUUUUACUGGCUUAGACAUUCACACUCAUCUCUUUUAUUUUAUGCUUAGUCAUAUUUAAAUCCAGAAUGUAAUAGUCUACUAGACAGAUAAAUGAGAUGCAUGAAUAUAAAAAUAUAUAAGGAAAAGGAGAAGGUAAACUAUUUAUAACUAUUAUAUUACUAACAUUUCAAAAUGUAUUAAUUGCUUAUAAACUGUAUAAUUACAACAUGUCUAUGCUCUAUUAACCAGAAGGCCGAGGACGUAUCAACAGGCUGGCUACUGUACUGGAGUGUUCAGCACAGUUGCCAUUGUGGAAGGUUUUUGCACAGUUAAAACAUUGGUAAAACAUGGCUUUAACCCUCAGCGUGUCAGAUAUGAGUGACUUUGGCUGUAGACUAGCAUUAGUGAUGGUUGCUCAGCCUGAAGAGCUGUGAAAUGGGGUGAGAUCAGUCAUGGUUCAUUCUUACUUCAAAGGUUUAAUAGUUUGGAAUUUUGAUUGACUUGGCACGUUCUAUCAUUGUCAUAACUUAAAUAAUUCAGUUAAAAAUUUUUUAAACAUGAUUUGAUAUUCUAGGGCUUUUCUUUUUUAAAAAAUGAGAAGCAGGUAAAGAAUUGUAAAGAUUUGGGACUUCUCUGUGGCAUUGUGAAAAUAAAUAAGCCAAUGUGAAAGGAA